This 186-nucleotide ribosomal RNA is filed under the name uncultured bacterium. Its description in RNAcentral is "partial 16S ribosomal RNA". It matches the Rfam family "Bacterial small subunit ribosomal RNA", at positions 1309 to 1500 of the family's 1533-position model. The record is from RNAcentral.
AACCCGACUCCAUGAAGCUGGAUUCGCUAGUAAUCGCGCAUCAGCCACGGCGCGGUGAAUACGUUCCCGGGCCUUGUACACACCGCCCGUCAAGCCAUGGAAGCCCGGGGGGUGCCUGAAGUGCGCUGCCGCAAGGAGCGCCCUAGGGUAAAACCGGUGACUGGGGCUAAGUCGUAACAAGGUAGC